GAUGAACGCUGGCGGCGUGCUUAACACAUGCAAGUCGAACGGAAAGGCCCUGCGUUUGUGCGGUUCUCGAUUGGGGAAGGGGGGAGUAACACGUGAGUAACCUGCCCUUGACUUUGGGAGAACUUCAGGAAACUGGGGCUAAUAUCGGAUAGGAGCUGCUGCACCGGGGGGGGCAUUGGAAAGUUUCGGCUGUGGGGGAUGGACUCGCGGGUUACCAGCUUGUUUGUGGGGUAGUGGCUGACCAAGGCUGUGACGGGUAGGCGGCCUGAGAGGGUGAACGGCCACCUUGCGCCUGAGAUAGGGACCAGACUGCUACGGGAGGCAGUAGGCGGGAAUCUUGCACAAUGGGAGCGAGUCUGUUGCAGAAACGUCGCGUGCGGGAUGCCGGGUUUUGGGUUGUAAACAGCUUUCGCCUGUGACGAAGCGUGAGUGACGGUACCGAGUAAAGAAGCACCGGCUAACUACGUG
RNAcentral lists this ribosomal RNA (468 nucleotides) under uncultured bacterium. RNAcentral describes it as "partial 16S ribosomal RNA". It matches the Rfam family "Bacterial small subunit ribosomal RNA", at positions 28 to 507 of the family's 1533-position model. The record is from RNAcentral.